UGGGGAAUUUUGGACAAUGGGCGCAAGCCUAAUCCAGCCAUGCCGCGUGUCUGAAGAAGGCCUUCGGGUUGUAAAGGACUUUUGUCAGGGAAGAAAAGGAUAGGGUUAAUACCCCUGUCUGAUGACGGUACCUGAAGAAUAAGCACCGGCUAACUACGUGCCAGCAGCCGCGGUAAUACGUAGGGUGCGAGCGUUAAUCGGAAUUACUGGGCGUAAAGCGGGCGCAGACGGUUACUUAAGCAGGAUGUGAAAUCCCCGGGCUCAACCUGGGAACUGCGUUCUGAACUGGGUGACUAGAGUGUGUCAGAGGGAGGUAGAAUUCCACGUGUAGCAGUGAAAUGCGUAGAGAUGUGGAGGAAUACCGAUGGCGAAGGCAGCCUCCUGGGAUAACACUGACGUUCAUGCCCGAAAGCGUGGGUAGCAAACAGGAUUAGAUACCCUGGUAGUCCACGCCCUAAACGAUGUCGAUUAGCUGCUGGGCAGCUUGACUGCUUAGUAGCGAAGCUAACGCGUGAAAUCGACCGCCUGGGGAGUACGGUCGCAAGAUU
This 548-nucleotide ribosomal RNA is filed under the name uncultured bacterium. RNAcentral's name for it is "bacterial SSU rRNA". It matches the Rfam family "Bacterial small subunit ribosomal RNA", at positions 355 to 895 of the family's 1533-position model. The record is from RNAcentral.